RNAcentral lists this ribosomal RNA (1635 nucleotides) under Corvomeyenia sp. DVL-2012. RNAcentral describes it as "small subunit ribosomal RNA". It matches the Rfam family "Bacterial small subunit ribosomal RNA". The record is from RNAcentral. Lineage: Eukaryota; Metazoa; Porifera; Demospongiae; Spongillida; Metaniidae.
AUUCCUUUGAUUUUGGGGAAGAUAUAAAGCGAGCGGCACUUAUAAUACAUGCUAAGGGAACGGAAAAUANGGGGAUCCCAUGUAAGUACGUCCUAUACAGGUGAGUAAUGUUCUGGAACUAACCAAUUGGAUGGGAAUAGAAUUCCCAUAAUAAAUCUGAUCCCCCGCUGGGGGGUCAUGAUAUGGAACCUGUUGGAAUCCAGUCGAUAGACCAUCGGUGUCUUAUGACGCCGGGGACCAUUUACGGGAUUCUAAUAAAGGGGCUGACACCCGAGAACCAAGUUCCGGAUGUCAGCCCCUAUGGGCCAAUUGAUAGGCUGGAAUCGUAUUAGGUAAAAGGGGAUAGAGCCCCUUGCCAAAGAUGCGUAGCUGAGAGGCCACACUUCCACUGAAACAAGGGGAAGACUCGUAUAGAGGCAGCAGUAAAGAAUAUUGUGCAAUGUAUGAAAGUAUGACACAGAGAUGUCGCAUAAGAUAGACUGUCAAAUCUACGUGCCAGCAGACGCGGUUAUACGUAAGGUCUAAGUUUUUNAUCAGAAAAGGCGUAAAGGGUGUGUAGGCAGGAUCCCAUCGGCAAGGCGUCACCGCCUACGGCGGCAUAGUAUAGCAACCAGCGGCAUCUACGAUGCCGCCGGGGGCUAUGCCUCGGACCCAUGGGAUGUGAGGUUUAAAGGGGUAAAUGGAACUUUUAUGUAGCGGUAGAAUGCUUUAAUAUAAAAUGGAACACCGGAGGCGAAGGCAAUUUACUAAUUAAAUCUGACGCUGAGACACGAAAGUAAGGGGAGCAAACAGGAUUAGAUACCCUGGUAGUCCUUACCGUAAACUAUGAAUAUUAGAUCACAGCAGCCAGAGGCAGCCCCUUCGGCGCCGCCCCNGGCGAAUGUGGUCGACGAAAACUCAAGAAAAUCCCGCCUGAAGAGUACGAUCGCAAGAUUAAAAUUCAAAAAAUUUGGCGGUUCACUAAACCAAUUAGAGGAGCGUGUAGUUUAAUUCGAUAAUCCGCGAUUAACCUUACCAAAACUUGAAUAAUUNNAAAAUAGGGAUAUCCUCGGAUAUCCCGAUAUAGGACCGACUACGUCGGUCCCAUUAACGGUUAGAGAUGACUAUUAAUUACAGGUAUUGCAUGGCCGUCGUCAGUUCGUGUUGUGAAAGAAAUAGAACGAACUUAACCCUUAAUCGUUAUUAUAGAACGGCCCCACGGGGUCCUUUUACGAUAUUAAGGAUGACGUCAGGUCCUUAUGAUCCUAAUGUUUUGGGCUACAUAUGCGCUACAAUGUUUUAUACAAAGAGAAACUUAAAUUGAAAGAGUAAACUCUAAAGUAAAAAUUCGGAUUGCCCCUUGAAAUAGGGGCCUGAAGUUGGAUUUAAUAGUAAUCGGAAAGUAGAGCGUUCUGGUGAAUACGGCUCUAGUGUUCGUACAAAUCGCCCGUCACCUCCACCAAGUAAAUAAUCCCAAAGUGUCAAGCUAUAAUUAAAGUAAUAGGGCUAAAUAUUUAAUAUCGCUAAAGCCAGCGGCGUCUUACGACGCUGGACCAAUAUCUUUAAUUCACUAGACAGGCUUGAUAUGACGGAAAGUUUAUGAGGUUGAGGAAGUCGUAACAUAGCGAGGGUAUUGGAAAAUGUCCUCGGAUUAAU